AAGUCAGAUGUGAAAGCCUCCUGUUCAACGGGAGAAUUGCAUCUGAAACUGCAGAUCUUGAGUGUAGGAGGGGAGAAUGGAACUUCUGGUGGAGCGGUGAAAUGCGUAGAUAUCAGAAGGAACGCCGGCGGCGAAAGCGAUUCUCUGGCCUAUUACUGACACUCAGUGUGCGAAAGCUAGGGGAGCAAAUGGGAUUAGAUACCCCGGUAGUCCUAGCCGUAAACGAUGGGCACUAAGUAGAGGGAAUUACCGAUAUUCUCUCUGCCGUAGCUAACGCAUUAAGUGCCCCGCCUGGGGAGUACGGCCGCAAGGCUAAAACUCAAAAGAAUUGACGGGGGCUCGCGCAAGCGGUGGAGCAUGUGGCUUAAUUCGAUGCAACGCGAAGAACCUUACCGGGGCUUGACAUGGUAGAAGUAGGAACCCGAAAGGGUAACGAACGGUAUCCAGUCCGUAGCUAUUACAGGUGUUGCAUGGCUGUCGUCAGCUCGUGUCGUGAGACGUUGGGUUAAGUCCCCUAACGAGCGAAACCCUUGUUUUUAGUUGCCAGCGGGUUAUGCCGGGCACUCUAGAAAGACUGCCGUCGUCAAGACGGAGGAAGGUGGGGAUGACGUCAAGUCAUCAUGGCCCUUAUGCCCCGGGCCGCACACGUGCUACAAUGGUCGGUACAAACGGAAGCGAAG
Molecule: ribosomal RNA, 680 nt
Filed under: uncultured anaerobic ammonium-oxidizing bacterium
Lineage: Bacteria
Description: bacterial SSU rRNA
Rfam family: Bacterial small subunit ribosomal RNA
Source: RNAcentral